Molecule: small RNA, 564 nt
Filed under: Pongo abelii (Sumatran orangutan)
Lineage: Eukaryota; Metazoa; Chordata; Mammalia; Primates; Hominidae
Description: processed transcript
Source: RNAcentral
GAUGCCAACACACUACCUGCCCAUUCAGGAACAAGCAAUUUACAAAUUUACAAAAAGUCCAAAGAACACCAAGAAAACUACUACAGUUAAGUUGGAUUUACUACUCAUUGCAUUAAGGAAUGCACGGAGAACACACCAUGGGGAACCCUGCGGUAUCGUGAUGUUCUCAUUUAAGCAACAAGAAGAUUCGUCUCUCGCUAUUACUGUAACUGCUGUUUAUAUCGUCAUGUCCCGGAAAGGUCCCUGUCUUCCCUGAAUGGUCUCUACCAACUUCACCUCCGGUUCUAGGUGUCAUGGCUGCCCCAAGGGUCUAGAGACGACAACUUCUCCGCUUCCUCGGCGAUGGCGGCGUCCGGGAGCGGUAUGGCCCAGAAAACCUGGGAACUGGCCAACAACAUGCAGGAAGCUCAGAGUAUCGAUGAAAUCUACAAAUACGACAAGAAACAGCAGCAAGAAAUCCUGGCGGCGAAGCCCUGGACUAAGGAAGAUGGGUCCUCGCUGUGUUGCUCAGGCUGAUCUCGAGCUUCUGCCUUCAAGCGAUCCUCCCGCCUUGGCCUUCCAAAG